GGUAGGAAGUCUCCUCCUCCUUCCUUCCCUCCUUCUAGAAACAUUUGUGACUGCUUCCUGGGUGCCAGCCUCUAGGCUGAGACCAGAAAGUUGGGAGAAGCCUGAAGUCUGUACUCUCAAGUGCCUUACUGGGGACUGCAGUCGGGGAUGAAAAGGGGGGAAGGGGACCACCUAUUUGAGCAUGUGUGAAAUUGCCAUAGAGUGUACGCCCAGAGAAUAAUGGGAACAUAGAAACAGGUGUUAAAUCAUCCUGGAAAUCAAGGCAGGCUUCCCAGAAGAGGCUGCAUUUGAGUUAUGAAACUGAGCAGGCAUCAGGAAGAAUGAAGAAACAUUGGCAGGGGCAAGAUAUAAAUGUCUAUUGCUGCAGAAAGGAGGAGCGAAGGUGAGGGGUCACGUCCUGGAGGAUGCCAAGGAGUGAGACUACAAAUUUCUUACCAGCUGAGCUCUGCGAUUUGACCUUUGGAAGUAGCUCUCCAACUGAACAGGAAGAAAGUCACAAAAGUGGCUACAAUUCAAGACAAUAUAUGGUAAGCUGGAUUUGAAAGAGUCACAGAAAAGUGAGAUAUCACUUCCAAAUAGGGUAAACAGAAACUCUUUAGGGCAGGGUGGGCUUGGGCCCUGCGAAAUGGAAUGGACAUAUUAAGAUGCAUAUUUUAGAAGAAAACCAACUAAAUGCUCUAGAAAAAUUUGAAAACCCAGCAAAGCAUAAAGAAUAAGAUAGAAACCUUCUAUAGACCAACUACCUACAGAUACAUUGCAAGACAUACAUGUUUAAUGACUAUUUGUAAUAUGAAUAAAUGAAUAAAUGACAUUACCAUUUUUGUCUAUUUUUUCCUCAUGCAUAUUUUUACUAUACACAUAAUUUUGGAAACUGCUUUUUGAAAACAUCAUAUGAUACUCAUAUCAGUAAAAUUAUUUGAAAAUACAUUUUUAAACAGCGAAAGAAUAUUUCCAUUAAUUGAUAUAUCAUUCCUGCAACCAAUUUCAUAGUGUUCACUUAUAGGUUGUUCCUAAAAUUCCAAUUAUUAUAAAUAAAACUUCAAUGAAAUGGCUAAACACAAAUCUCUAUCCACACCUCUGUAUUUUCAGGAUGGAAUCCUGUAAGUGGAAUAUCAAAUCAAGAUGUAUUAACAUUUAAGAGAGCAAAACAUUGCACAAUUCCUUUCACGAAGGUUGUGCCAAUUUACAUUCCCAUUAGCAAAGUAUAAAAUUGACAUAUACAGCUCACCAAUAGUGUUAUUUUAAAAUAUUUGCUAAUCCAAUGAGGAGAAAAUAGUAAAUCAUUGUUUUUAAGUUUUCUAUGUAUUUGAUCACUAGUGAUGUACAUUUUAAGUAUGAUAAUUUCCAUUAAUAUUUCCCUUAAGUUCCUGUUUCAUAUUCUUUGACUAUUUUUCCUGGGGAAUUUGCAAAGAAUCUCCAGUUCUCUCAGUCUUGGUUCUCCCGUGGUGAUCGGUGUGUGUGCAUCUGCCACGGUAAGCGUGAUCUUAUUUUUUAAAGAUACAUUGUCACACAUUCAUUCCUCCUCCCCUUCCCUCCUUCCUGCCUUGUCUGUCUGUCUGUCUCCUUCUCACUUUCUCUCUUUCAUGACACGGUAUCUAAACACAGCCAACUCUAUACAUCUGAGUUGUUACAACACUGUAGGGAAAACUGGAGGCAUCAGAAUUAUUGAAAGGUGAUAUGUCUAGAUUGUCAAGGGGCAACUUAGUCACUGUGACCCCCUUAAAGUGCUGAUCUUAGACCCUAACUAUCUUCUGUGACCUAAGAUCAAAUUCCAGUGUUCCUCUGUUGACUCCCUAGGUUUCAACUGAAUUGCACUUUCCUGCUUUCAUGGUAUCUACUCCUGCUGAACCUGACCUGACCUGUAUUUUCCCCAGACCAAAUCUUGCCUGUCCCUGAUUACAAAGCUUAAAUGGCACCCCUUGGAUGAUGUCCUCUGAAUCCCAGAGCACACUGUAUUUCACUUACGGUACUUCCAAUCUCCCAGAUUCUCUGGUCAUUUGUGCAGGCAAUUGUCUCUUUUAUUACUUUAUUACUCCUUGAGGAGUCUACAUGAGUAGAAUCUAUGUCUUCUUCAUGACUGGAUUCCCAUAAUACAGUUAUCAGAAACCAAAAAAUGUUUUACAAAUUAAAAAAUCAAAUGCCAUUUAAUAGAAACACUAGAAGAAAAAAACCCAGCUACUUUGGAAGGGAAAACAAAACUUAAUUUUAACUGUAUUGACUGUGGUUAAUGUUAUGGACCAAACUGUGUCCUCCUUCAAGUUCAUAUGUUAAAGCCCUAAUACCCAUGUAGGGGUAUUUGGGGAUAGGGACUUCAGGGAAGUACUUAAGGUUAAAUGAGGUCAUAUGGAUGGGGCCCUAAUCCAAUAGGAAUAGUGUCCUUAUGAGAAGAAGAAGGGACACCAAAGCUCUUUCUCUCUGUCCACUUGUGUGCACGGUAAAAAGGCCAUGUGAAGACACAGUGAGAAGGCUGCUGUCUGCAAACCAGGAAGAAUUCCCCACCAAAACUUGACCAUGGAGGCACCAUGAUCUUGGACUUCCAGCCUCCAGAAUUGUGAGAAAAUAAAUUUCCAUUGUUUAAACCACUGGGACUGUGGCAUUUUGUUAUGGCAGCCUGACCUGACAACACAAAAGUAAUGGUAAGAUGUCAGGAAGAAAUGGAAGAAAAUUAGUCUAAACAAAGGAAUAUUAAUAACUCAGUCAAAGAGCUCACAGAAUCUCAUGGUGAGAACAUUUGGGGAUAGAAACAAAGGAAUAAUUGGGAAGCAUGCCUCCUUUGGUCUCAUCAUAAAAGGCACAAGAUUCUCUCUUAUUCUGCAGCUGCUGAAGUCCCCUGUGGCAGAGGAAUGAAAACUGAUAAAAAUGACAACUGGAGUCCAGGGACUAAGAAACUGAAUGGGGAUAAACAAUUAAUACUAGAUCAAAUUUAAAAUCAGCAGAGGGAAAUGAGCACUAACAUAGUAUCUCAAAACAACUGGGAAAUUGACAAGGAAAUUGCUACUGCUUCCAUUAGAGUAAGUGCAUACAUUCUUAUGUUGUUUUCUUGAAAUGAUGAAUUCUUCUUGGGCUCAUCCAUUAGCCAGGGAAAGAUGUUCCUGACUCUCUGGGGACAUUACUCAAAAGAGGCAUCAGGCCAUAACACAGAACCAUACAUGACUUCAAAACUAAAUAUUAAGGAAGACUAUAUUAGAAAGCCAAGACAGAAAGAACAACUCUCUCUGGGGUCUUAAUCAUUGUUCUCAAGUCCUUGCCAAAUAUUUUCUCAUCGUUACUUUGCAUAUUUUAAGUAUGUGUCAUGUUUUUGUAUGAACUAAAACAAAAACAGGCAAAGGGCCUUUUUAGAAUUGUACUUCUUAGAACUACUGUGACUUAAUGUCUUUUCAGUUCUUGUAUUAUAAAUGAAGAAAAAAAGGAAUGAUGAGUUGGAUGGGUAGUGUGGGUGCAGAGGGCGGCCUCCGAGAGCCCUGAGCAGCCCCACCGCCCUGCCAGCCUAGUUGACCAUCCCACCGGGAGGAGCCGCAGCUGCCGCCUCCCGCCCCGGUCGCCACCCCGCAAGCACCUGCCACCCCGCCCGCAGCGCGGCAGACACCCGGCCUGGCACCGGGGCAGCGGCCUCACGCCUGGGGCGCCUGCCGGCAGGAUGAGAAAGUCGUCGUAAGGAAGGUUUGGGGAACAGUAGAAGGAUUCAGAGUAAGAAACAGAUAUGGUUCCAUCAGCGGGAGUGACGCGAAGGAAGAUGUGCUUGUGCCUUCGCAGGACGUCAGAUGGGGAGGCUGUGGAGCUGAAGGAGAAAGCGGGGCAGAGGCAGCACAUGCACAGGCCCUGGGGCAGCUCCUUUGCCAGGCGGUGAAUACGCCGCGGGCUGUAAGCCUUAUAGACGCCCUCCACGUCCAGAGGGUCUCCACAUAGGCGCCAGCAGAAUGACCAGAAUAGUGAGUGUGGGGGGAGAAUGAGGGGUCCGAGAGCGCUCCGGGAGGCCGGGCUCCACGGCUCGGUCCCACCGCAGGCGAGGCCGCCCAGCUGCCCACGUGCGGAGACCCUGCGGGCGCGCCCCCGGACUCCAGCCCUCCUGUGCCGGCGGAAGUGACAGAGGGUGCUGACAUCCAGGCUGCAGGAGAGGGGCGGACCAGGGAGACAAUACGUCCGGGCGUACAGACCACGAUUCCGCAGGGGUCCUCCUGGCCAAACAGCCUGGAGAGGACGGCAGUGCAAAGGAUGAGGACAAUCAAGACGAGAGACCCCAGGUCAGCAGCCACCUCAAGGCAGGUACCACCUCAACCUCAGUCACCAACACGGAGGACCGGAAAACCCUAAAGCCCAGGAUGGCAAAGACGAAAGCAGCCGACCCCCGCCCCCAGCUCAGAGUUCCUCCGCUGCGGAGGCCCAGCCGUCCUGGGCUGCACAGUGCCGGCCUCCAUCCCUACCAUCUGCCGUUUUAGCUGUCCAACAAGAAGAAAUGAAUACGGAAUUCCAGCAGCAAGAAGUGAACAGAAGAUCGGAGCUGAAGACCUUAAGUGCUUGCUUUUUGCCUACUGACCAGAUAACCAGAAGUAUAUGCAUUAUCUAUGCAGUGUGGGGCUUUUAUUAUUUUUACCAAAGGAUGUCUCUUUUUGGUAAUGAAAAAUGUUUUUUUUUUAAAGCCUGUAAUGUUUUUCCAAUUUAAAGGUUUAAAUUGCUUCAUAUCUGGUGAGGUUGAUAUUUUUAAGAACCUCAUUUUUAAUUUGUAAUAAAAGUUUACAACUUGAUUCUUUUUCCAAAAAGAGUCAACAAACAACAA
Long non-coding RNA from Manis pentadactyla (Chinese pangolin), 4774 nucleotides. RefSeq lists it as uncharacterized. The transcript has 3 exons. The record is from RefSeq and is a predicted model, not a curated record. NCBI's taxonomy places the organism in Eukaryota, Metazoa, Chordata, Mammalia, Pholidota, Manidae.